AUUGAACGCUGGCGGCAGGCCUAACACAUGCAAGUCGAACGGUAGCACAGAGAGCUUGCUCUCGGGUGACGAGUGGCGGACGGGUGAGUAAUGUCUGGGAAACUGCCCGAUGGAGGGGGAUAACUACUGGAAACGGUAGCUAAUACCGCAUAACGUCGCAAGACCAAAGUGGGGGACCUUCGGGCCUCACACCAUCGGAUGUGCCCAGAUGGGAUUAGCUAGUAGGUGGGGUAAUGGCUCACCUAGGCGACGAUCCCUAGCUGGUCUGAGAGGAUGACCAGCCACACUGGAACUGAGACACGGUCCAGACUCCUACGGGGGGCAGCAGUGGGGAAUAUUGCACAAUGGGCGCAAGCCUGAUGCAGCCAUGCCGCGUGUACGAAGAAGGCCUUCGGGUUGUAAAGUACUUUCAGCGGGGAGGAAGGCGGUGAAGUUAAUAGCUUCACCGAUUGACGUUACCCGCAGAAGAAGCACCGGCUAACUCCGUGCCAGCAGCCGCGGUAA
RNAcentral lists this ribosomal RNA (504 nucleotides) under uncultured bacterium. RNAcentral's name for it is "partial 16S ribosomal RNA". It matches the Rfam family "Bacterial small subunit ribosomal RNA", at positions 29 to 523 of the family's 1533-position model. The record is from RNAcentral.